UACGUAGGGUGCAAGCGUUGUCCGGAAUUAUUGGGCGUAAAGAGCUCGUAGGCGGCUUGUCGCGUCGGAUGUGAAAGCCCGGGGCUUAACCCCGGGUCUGCAUUCGAUACGGGCAGGCUAGAGUUCGGUAGGGGAGAUCGGAAUUCCUGGUGUAGCGGUGAAAUGCGCAGAUAUCAGGAGGAACACCGGUGGCGAAGGCGGAUCUCUGGGCCGAUACUGACGCUGAGGAGCGAAAGCGUGGGGAGCGAACAGG
RNAcentral lists this ribosomal RNA (253 nucleotides) under uncultured bacterium. Its description in RNAcentral is "partial 16S ribosomal RNA". It matches the Rfam family "Bacterial small subunit ribosomal RNA", at positions 524 to 776 of the family's 1533-position model. The record is from RNAcentral.